Hemicordylus capensis (graceful crag lizard) is the source of this 5979-nucleotide long non-coding RNA. RefSeq lists it as uncharacterized. The record is from RefSeq and is a predicted model, not a curated record. The transcript has 3 exons. NCBI's taxonomy places the organism in Eukaryota, Metazoa, Chordata, Lepidosauria, Squamata, Cordylidae.
GAGUUCAAGCCUCAUGGAAGCAGAAAUAGAGAGGGACAAACAAGCAAGUGGACGAGGAAUCUAAUCCGGUUUGGUGAAAUAGCUGAAUGGGCCAGGGAAUAACAGCCUCAGUAGAGGAAACUGACAGAUGCAAAAUAUAGUUCUCAACGGAUCACACUGAUAACCUUUUUGUGGGUUUUCACUGGAUUUAGUGUUCUACGUUGUUUUAUGAUGCACAUGUCAGAAAAAGUUAUAGUCUCUUUUUGUUCAGGAAGAAAUAUGUUUCCCUUUCUCUAAGGGUCAAACUAGACGUGGCUUUAAAUGUGUCUUUGAAUCUCAUGCUUGAAGGUGACUUGGACAAAUGGCUACACUUUUCUGGGUCAAUUUUCUAGUUCGUAAGAGAGAGCAUUACUGAUCAGUCAGUCCUUGGGAAGCACUGCAACAGGCCCUUCCUGCAGCAUGUGCUUGUGAGCAGAGGGAGUUGGGAAGUAUAUGCCCUGUAGUCUUUUCCACUGUUCUUGCUCAAUCACUGCGGUUCUGCUGACACUUUCCCAGGCCCAGUCUGCACUCCAGGCUGCUGAUCACAGAAACAGAUGUGACUAUACUUAUGGCAUUUGCUUCUUCAGACAAACACCCAUAACUGUGAAGAGCGCAAGCUAGGGGAGGCUGAGUGGAGUGCUGACAGGAACUUACUAUGGAGAAGAGGAAUGGAGAAGAAAAUAGACUUGGAGAGAAGUAUGUUUUUUUUCUUUUUUCUUUUGAUUCCGUGUUUUUAUUUUUUGUUUUGCAAGGCCACACAUUUAACCGGGAUACGUAUGUCUUACAAAGCCCUGCGUGGAAAAAUUCUGCUUACCUGCUUGCUGGGAGGCUCGACUCUAGAAGACUUUGCUUUGAACUAACAGUUUCAUUUACAAUUCCUUCUGUUUGCACGGCUGACAAAGUGUUUUAUGGCUGAACAAUCACCUUUUUGCCACUAAUUAUCUAAGCUCUGAUGGGGGAAAUGAAAGUGUUGGGAAAAUAGUUUGCUUCUUUCAUGCCAAGACUCUGACUUUAUCUUGAAGAAUUCCCAUACAUAUCACUUGGCUGAGCUGGAGCGGUGAAGAUUCCUCAUUCCUCUCAUUCCUCAUUACUUUCACUUUUACUGAAUGUUGAUCUCGUUAAAGACAGGCUGGGCUAAUUGGUAUGGGGAGAGACUGUUAAGAUGUGUUUUACUAUGAGAUAAAUUCAGAAGAUUCUACCAGAACGGACCUGAAAGUUUUAACUUUAUUUGAAAGUUUACUUGCCUCAGUUGUUUACUCUUGGAAGAAACCUGAUAACCGUUUGUUUUAGCCUCAGAAGUUAAUUCCGGCAUUGCUUAGUCUCUCCCCUAUGAGAGAAUGUCCUUGGACAUUGUUUCAAAGAUUUCAAAUUAACCAUUUGUGGUGUGAGUGGGAAGAUUCUCAAAGCCUUAAGAUUUUAAUGCUGGUUUCUCCCUUUUUUCCUAUCUAUUUAAAGGUUCUAACUUUGAGUAUAAGUACAUAUUAUACCUCUUUAAUUGGCCCUUCAAUGUAUUCCCUGUGUUUAAUGUAUUCUUCAUCAAAUAUUUAGGGAGUUCCACAUAGGGUGCAAUACUGAAAUAACCCCAAUGUUCAAAGUCUUAACCUAAAGAAUUAAUACAUACCAUUAGAAAAGAAACUGAAAUAUAUGUGAAUAUUUAGGGUAUUACAUUAGGAUAGUAACUUUGAGUAUAGCUUAAUAUUAAGCCUUAUUACUUAGUCUUUCAAGGUGUUCCCUGUGUUAACUGCCUUUCUUAUUUCAACCAUCAAUAUUUAGGGAGUUAUAAAUAAGGUUUAAUAUGGGUAUCAAUCUAAUCAGGAACUUAGUGGCAUUAUGAUUUCCUUGGGUUUCAAAGACCCAAGGAAAUGUCACAUAUAUCUGCUUUUGGUUCUUUUUGUUUGUUUGUUUUCUUGCUCUCUACGGAAGAAAUGAGAAUGCAUUGGGAAUGGAGGAUUCAGGGAAGAACUGAGAAUAUUUUUGUAAACUUAAUUCUUAGAAGCAAAUUGACAGAAUAGAGCAAAUAUUUUUAAACAUAUGGCACAAGACUACCGGCUAUACCCUAUAAUAUGACAUUAUAUAUUCUGAAAGGAUAUGAAUGACAAGCAGUUGAAGAUUAUGCUCUCUCUUUUCUUAGCUCCAGUUUAUUAUUCCCCUUUCCCCCCAUUAUGGGCUUUUGUUAACCGUUAUGAAUAUUUUAUAAUAACACUUUGACAAGUUUAGCUUGACGCAAACAAUUGGAAGUAAACUGCGAAGGAUUAGACAUCUGUAUAGAGGGGUUAUCUCACUGCUAAAGUUUGACAGUUUAUGCUACCAGCUGUAGGUUAUAAAGAUCAGUCAGGGCUGAAUUUAGUCUCCCUCCAUUUAUCUCUCCGGCUUGUUUGUUUGUCUUUCAUUACAUGAGGAGGGGGACUAUUAGAGGUUUGGCUGAUCUUUGUUAAUUAUUUUACUAUGGUUUUUUGAAUACUAGUCUGUAAUGAGAUGGGAUACUUGUACGUUGGUGGACAUGUGGCCUUGUAUUUACAACACGCGUACUACUUUUGUCAUGGCAGAAUUCGUAUUUCAGGUAUUAUUCUCUUCUCCAUUGAAUAUUCCUGUUGGAAAUCAUUUUGUAUGCACAGUUGUCUAAUAAUUAAUUGAAUCCAGAGUGAGUGUUCCGUGAGAGUUUUAAAUCCUAUUCUCUCUGACGAGUAGAUUUAUAGAUGAGCCCAUAGAUGCCAAUAAGUUUUUUCUGUACUGCUGUUUUUUGAACUUCCCAUGGAUUCUUCAGCAGGUAGCUGAAUUGUCUUUGGAGGAGAGAGCCAGUAUGAAGGGGUUGGUGAGAUUUAGGGCGUGAUUUGAGCGCAGAGAAACGCAUAACCAAUUUAUGUUUGGCCUGACAGUUCUUUCCUUAUUGUAUUGAAAUUAUAACAAUAUAAUCGGCACUGAAGCACAUUUAAAACUACAUACCAGGACAUAUUUGAGACACAUAUCUGAGGUACAUUUAAAAAUACACAUAUAGGUGGAGCUCACGCCACAGAGUAUUGGGGACAUCUGGCUCUGCACUCGAAUUACUGGUAUUAUUUCUAUUUUGUACGUCAUAGUUGGGCUGGGUCCCUCCUCCUUAGAUUACCUGACAGUAGGAUGAUCAACCAGGUCUGGGCUGUUUUUUUCCUCCCUUUCCCCCCCUUUAGGGUUAGGGUUCAAGACUCUUAUAAACUGGGCAACCCGAUUAGAUCACUGCAAAGACAACAUAUGGCAGGGCAGUGAUACCCGGGAUCGGGUUUAAAAGGCAGUCCCACCCAGGAGUUAUUGAAUGGCUCUGCUCUAUUUUUUGUACAAUAAAGUUGGGAGAGGGGGCCCAGCUCCUUCCCCUUGGGUAAAAGCAUGCUGUCUCUGGCGUUACUCAUGAGAAGAUCUGUCUAGCAGGAGCAGUAUUGCCUUCAGUCACAGGAGAGAUUCCUGCUGUGUGAUGAUGAUGGAUGCUGCUCCAGAGUGGACCACUCUCUCAUGAGAGUGAAAAGGUCAUGGAGACACACAAGCAGACCAGAUGGCAGCUGCUGCCCCACCUGAUUGCUUGACAUAAGCAACCUGUGGGGACAGGAACCCCAGCAACACCUUUCCCUGUCAUGGUGACUGCCACAAAGAAGCAAUCCAAGCAGGCCCCUUUGCCACUCCGGUUGUCCAUUGGCACACAUCCAUGUUAGUUUUUGCCUGGCACUCUGACCCUACUUUACUGGGAUCAUUGAUAACUGGGGCUCCCUUCUCCUGCAAUUCCCAUGGUGGCUGAUCUGCAUACUCCACAACACCAGUCCAAACCUGGGAAAUUUGAAUGAGAGUAAAGAUCUAUCCCUGAUCCCGGUGUUUCCCAAGUCUGUCCACCCUGUACCGCCUGGACACAUGGAGCAGCCGCUACUCCUUGGGAGUAUGAAAGGGCUGACUGGAAAGGAGGAGAUCAUGGUGUACAAGUUGUAUUACUUACUAGAGAGAACAGGGGCCCCACACAAGUGGGGGGCCCUUGAUUUGGGUGGCCUAACUCAUGAGAGCACAGCCCAACAGAGGACCGAAGGUCUUGGGGCCUCUGGUCUUCUGCAGUGGACUGGCCCUCUCAUGAGAUGAUUAAUUCCCAGGCAGCAGGACAAUCCAAGGGCAGGAGUGUGCUUGGGUGUUCCUUGACUGCUUAGCCAGGGCUGGCCAUCACAAGAGCAUCCCUGGUCACAGUGGACCCAACUCCAGGAUUCUUUGCCCUCCCUCAUAUACAUAUUCCCUCCUAGGAAGUCAUCAUGAUCCUUUCCUAGAAUAACAAAAAAAAUAGUGCCCCUCUGCAUCCCCCUGUAGCCAGAAAUUGUGCUUGUGCAAGACUGUCUUGGUCCAGGGCUGUUACGAAGGUAGCAGUGCAGCUGAUGUCAGGAGAAAGGCAUGCAUGCAAUUUAAAGGGAUUCAAAUGCUUUUCCCCUGCGCCUAGGGUGAGCGGGCAGGAGGUCAAUUCAGAAAGGGCAUGAUCGCGCUUGGCACGCCCGAUUGAAGAUCGUGGCCAAUGGCUACCUCUCUGCCGACAUUCUGAUGGCUUGCCCACAGCCUGACGAUGCAAACGCUACAGAGCUUGCUGGGAUGCAGCCUCGGCAGAAGAGAGAGUAGUUAUAAUCUAAGUGUGCUGCACAAAUCUAGUUCCUCUGCCCUGAAACCAGAGGUUGCCAGACUAUGGUAGGAUGAACAUAUGUGAUGUGAUUCACGGUUACAAAAAUUAACCUCCGGUUUAUUUACCCAUGGUUUGCCGUUACGUGCGAAUGCGGCCCUAGUUGGAAAACAAACCGUCCAGUUUGUUAAUGGUUUGCUUCAGCAGACAGGGAGGCUCUCCACACAAGCAGUGUGGAGAGCCUUACCAGGCUCUCCUCUGAGGUGAGCAGUCACUUGUUGCUGGGCAGUCGGAUCAGCUGCCCACACAACUAUCAGCUCUGUCACAGAGCUGGUAGGGGCUGCAGGGAUCAGGGGCUACUUGGACCCCGGAAGUCCCAGGAUGCCCUGAGACUGGGAGUCCCAGGAGACCCCUGAGACCAGGAAGCUUGUUUUAGCCUCCUGGAGGGGGUCUCCUCAUGAGUCGCUGCGGCACAGAGUUGCGCCAUGGCAACUCAUGAUCAGGAAAACAGGGUUAGUGGAGCACUCGCUCCACUAAUCCCAUUUAAGAGGAGGGCUUCUUUGGUGGGGUAGCCACCAGAGUACCACUGGGCUCGCCCGGGGAUUCUCACGAUGGGUGGAAACCGAGCUGUUUCCCCCAUCGUGAUAAUAGCCUCUGAGUUAGAACAAACAAAAGUUCAGAUUGUGUGUAUAACAAGCAUGGACCCACAACAAAACGUUGCAGUAUAUUCCUCAUGUGCAUGAGUUAUUUGAGCUUGUGCCUGAGCAUGGUUAAAGUUGUAGGCACCUUCCCUCCUCAGAAACAGAAAAAGUUGUGACUGUCAGUACCUCUUUCUCACCCACAGGUGUUCCAUUUAUGUGUCCAUAAGGAUAACAACAUUUCCAGCUCAUUCAGAAAUAGACAGCUGGGGAAAUAUUGUUGAAAAUGGAAGCUUUCUCCUUCACUGAUACAUGAGAGUGAAGGGACCACGCAAGCCCACGGCUCUUUCAGGCUCAUUCACAUCGCACAAAAUUCCAGGCAUUGUUUAGCAUUACAUCUGAACUGGGCCUAUGAGCAUUUCAGAACCGAAAUCACAUUGUGUUAUGUUGGGUACCCCUAAGUAGCUAGCACUACCACAAUGCCAUGACAGGAUGUAAUGAUCUACCUCAUUUAGCCCAGCUCUGAUGCAAAUACAUAAUUCUUGCAGCUAUUUUGUUAAAACAAUUAUGUUAAAAAAAAUCCUAACAGUAAUAAAAUUCAGUGAUAGGAAAUACCUAUAUCAGCAACUUUGUUUUCUAAUUUGCACAGAUCUGUGACAGACUGAGACGGAAAAAUACUGGUCUAUUAGAAAAUUAAAAUAUUAUCUUCUUUAA